GAAGAAUUUGAGAGUACCUAAUUUAUAAUUAAUUAGUGUUAACAAGUACUGGUGAUUUUAUUUAUAUACCUUAUUUACCUGUUUUAUAUAUUCUUCGGCCUGUGUCUUUACAUCACAAAUAAUCUUACGUAAUUGACUAAUUCAAUAGAUAUAAGAAUUAAAAAUAUAGUUUUACUAGCUGACCCCGCAAACUUUGUAUUGCCAUAUAUGUUAUAAACCCCCUAAAUCCCCCCCCCCCUCUCCGUAUAACUUAGAAAUAUGAAAAUAGAUGUUGGCCGAUUCCUACCCUAUCGGAUAUGCACACAAAAUUUCAUAAAAAUCUGU
RNAcentral lists this unclassified non-coding RNA (324 nucleotides) under Melitaea cinxia (Glanville fritillary). RNAcentral describes it as "misc RNA ENSMCXG00005011663.1". The record is from RNAcentral. Lineage: Eukaryota; Metazoa; Arthropoda; Insecta; Lepidoptera; Nymphalidae.